UAAUGGUAGAGGUGCGGUGUUUAAGAGUAAUCCAUCGGAUGUCUUAGAGCAGUUGAAGAUGGUUGAAAGGGAAGACCGCCGAAGGGGGCUUUGGUCUAAGCUAUGGCUUUCCUGGUUGUAUAGUUAAUAGCUAUGCGACUGUCAUCGUAAGAUGGAGCGCUACUUAG
RNAcentral lists this non-coding RNA (167 nucleotides) under bovine gut metagenome. RNAcentral's name for it is "Lysine riboswitch". It matches the Rfam family "Lysine riboswitch aptamer". From Rfam's summary of the family: Riboswitches are metabolite binding domains within certain messenger RNAs that serve as precision sensors for their corresponding targets. The record is from RNAcentral.